Colletes gigas is the source of this 2325-nucleotide long non-coding RNA. RefSeq lists it as uncharacterized. The transcript has 4 exons. The record is from RefSeq and is a predicted model, not a curated record. Lineage: Eukaryota; Metazoa; Arthropoda; Insecta; Hymenoptera; Colletidae.
AAAGGCUAACGCAGUAAGACGUGUCGAGACGUGUCCCGGCUUGUCGGCGUUUCGCGACCAACGAGCAGUGUCUGAUUGGAAUUCGAAUAGAAGGCAAGCUACCGGCACGACGCCAUGACACUUGGAAACAUUGAAAUCGCGCCAAUUUCAAAUCGUCUAACAAGGAUUGAUCGUCGACAGUUUGCGGUUCGAUGGAGUAAACAAGAGACUGAACGUGAUCGCGUAAGAAGAAGUACAAUCCAGUCGCAAGAUCUCCGUGGCAGAGAACGGUGAAACGUGGGGCCUCAGGAUGAAUCUCUGCAGUUAGAAGUUUCCCACCCUGGAAGCAAGGGUCGUGUCUCUGACAGCCGUUUUCUAGCACACAAGCCCGUUGUUCUGUCGUUAGAAACGUUUUGUCGGACUUUGUCCGGCGCGAUUGUUUCCCGAAUCGCGGCUUAAAUUGCUUUAUCGGUUCGCGGUCAGGCAUAUUUCCCUCUCCGUUCUCGAUUUUCCGCUCCACCCUUUUUCCCCGCCUGGGAGAAUUCUCGUUCCCGCGGAGAACGGCGGCGACGGGUUUUCCGCGUUUCCAUUUAUCCUUGACCCGAUCUCCAUUUAACGUUAAAUAAUACCCCUCGCGUUUCCCGUUCAUCGCGUACAAUAUUUAUUUCUCUGUCGCCGGUGCACGUGUGCAUGAAACCGUGACGACGCUACACACGGUCUUUGUACGAAUUUCGAAUUGUCUCUCGCGUGUUCGUUCGAUCUACACUGCCGGUCCGUAAGUAUCAGAAACGUUGUCGGUGUUUGAAUUAUUAUAACUCGGUGAAAAGUAGUAGCUCAACGAUAUUCCUCGGGUCAUUUUAAACGUCGAACCAUCUACUAUUAGACAGUAAAGGAUUGUUAUUAUUAAUUUCGAAUUGUCGCUCGCGCGUCUCGCGUGUUCAUUCUAUCUACACUGCCGGUCCGUAAGUAUCAGAAACGUUGUCGGUGUUUGAAUUAUUAUAACACGGUGAAAAGUAGCAGCACAACGAUAUUACUCGGGUCAAUUUAAACGUCGAAACAUCUACUGUUAGACAGUAAAGGAUCGUUAUUAUUAUGUUCCAAAGAUUGAGAACGUUUGGACCAAAUGUUCCGAUGCUUAUGGCGGUGUAUUUCUUUCUGGAGACACUCGAGGAUUCAACGUUGCGUCGACGGUUUUUAUUCGCGUCUCGCUACACUUGUGCCCGCCCCCGGUUCGCGCCGUUUCCUCGACGAAUUCUCUCGGUACAGCGUGCACGAGACUCGACGGCCCUACCAGUCGGUAAUUUCACCCAGAAGUUGGACGAUCCUUUUUGUUUUCUUAUUUCCCCUCUGUACGCCCGCGCGCGUUCUCUCUCGAGCGUGAAUUUCCCGGCCGUGGAACGCCGAGGAGGAAGUCCCGCGUUUCCGCUCGACCUUGACCCCGAUUCACGUUCAAUGUCAAACCACGUUCUUUAUUCCCCCGUCGUUCCCUCCGGCGGUAUUCCCCUCCCUCGAUAAAGUUUCGAGUUUACCAUUAAUAUUCAAUCGAAGGAACACGCCGCGCGGUUCACGCUCCCCCCUCCGGCUAGCGGGAAGCAAAUCCUGAAUUCCCUCAUUAUAUCGACGAAUAAUUAAGGUCACCGUUGCGCCGUCCGGCCGAGAAUCGAACCAGCACCCGCCGUCGGAUAAUUCUAUAGCGAACUUUAUCCUGUCGGAAGGUAAUACGUUUGUUCCGUCGAAUCAAUGAGAACCCGGCACCGCGGUGUGCAAGACAGAGACGGAGGAAGGAGAACGUGUUCUCCUUUGAAAUUCCAGACCUUGGCCUCCGGAGUAACUCGAUUAGGGGUAGUUGAAUAGAGAGGACGAGGCGAGGAAUAGGAAGGAGGUGAUAAAGAGGUCGAGCGAGGAAAAGAUAUUAGAGGGUAAACAGACUGAUGCGCUCGCGGAAACACGUGAUCGAGUUAACAGACGCGUUUACGUUUCAAGGGAAGUCGACGGAUAGAAUGUAACGACGAUGGCCUGUUCGAGUCUCGGCUUUGAAACGGUUCCAAAAUUUUUUAAACCUGUUCGAAUCCCAUCGGUACGUGCAAGGGGAAGAUUUUUAACAGCGACGGGACAAUCAUCCAUCACGCGUUAUCGCUUAUUUUUCCAUUCACUUGGAGUAAAGCUCGAUAAAAGAGUCCGGGAUAGGACACUCGCCAUGGUCGACGCGUCAACGCGUUGUUUUUUUAUACUUUGCAACGUCUGGCUCCUAAAAAUCUUUCUCUUGUAAGACUCGCGGGAUUAUCGAUGGGGCAAACAAUUUCUAGCAACGCCUCUGUGCAGAAAAUACCUUUUAUCUUUUCGAUA